RNAcentral lists this ribosomal RNA (815 nucleotides) under uncultured bacterium. RNAcentral describes it as "bacterial SSU rRNA". It matches the Rfam family "Bacterial small subunit ribosomal RNA", at positions 20 to 877 of the family's 1533-position model. The record is from RNAcentral.
UGGCUCAGGAUGAACGCUGGCGGUAUGCCUAACACAUGCAAGUCGAACGGUCACUUCGGUGAUAGUGGCGGACGGGUGAGUAACGCGUGAGAAUCUGCCUCUUGGUUGGGGACAACAGUUGGAAACGACUGCUAAUACCCAAUGUGCCGCAAGGUGAAAGAUUUAUUGCCAAGAGAGGAGCUCGCGUCUGAUUACCUAGUUGGUAGUGUAAGGGACUACCAAGGCAUCGAUCAGUAGCUGGUCUGAGAGGAUGAGCAGCCACACUGGGACUGAGACACGGCCCAGACUCCUACGGGAGGCAGCAGUGGGGAAUUUUCCGCAAUGGGCGAAAGCCUGACGGAGCAAUACCGCGUGAGGGAGGAAGGCUCUUGGGUUGUAAACCUCUUUUCUUAGGGAAGAACACAAUGACGGUACCUAAGGAAUAAGCAUCGGCUAACUCCGUGCCAGCAGCCGCGGUAAUACGGAGGAUGCAAGCGUUAUCCGGAAUUAUUGGGCGUAAAGCGUCCGUAGGUGGUUUUUCAAGUCUGCUGUCAAAGACCGUGGCUUAACCACGGAAAGGCAGUGGAAACUGAGAGACUAGAGUUCGGUAGGGGUAGCGGGAAUUCCCAGUGUAGCGGUGAAAUGCGUAGAUAUUGGGAAGAACAUCGGUGGCGAAGGCGCGCUAUUGGACCGAAACUGACACUCAGAGGACGAAAGCUAGGGGAGCGAAAGGGAUUAGAUACCCCUGUAGUCCUAGCUGUAAACGAUGGAAACUAGGUGUGGCUUGUAUCGACCCGAGCCGUGCCGAAGCUAACGCGUUAAGUUCCUCGCCUGGG